UGGGGAAUAUUGCACAAUGGGCGCAAGCCUGAUGCAGCCAUGCCGCGUGUAUGAAGAAGGCCUUCGGGUUGUAAAGUACUUUCAGCGGGGAGGAAGGGAGUAAAGUUAAUACCUUUGCUCAUUGACGUUACCCGCAGAAGAAGCACCGGCUAACUCCGCGCCAGCAGCCGCGGUAAUACGGAGGGUGCAAGCGUUAAUCGGAAUUACUGGGCGUAAAGCGCACGCAGGCGGUUGAUUGAGUCAGAUGUGAAAUCACCGGGCUAAACCCGGGAAUUGCAUCUGAUACUGGUCAGCUAGAGUCUUGUAGAGGGGGGUAGAAUUCCAUGUGUAGCGGUGAAAUGCGUAGAGAUGUGGAGGAAUACCGGUGGCGAAGGCGGCCCCCUGGACAAAGACUGACGCUCAGGUGCGAAAGAGUGGGGAGCAAACAGG
This 429-nucleotide ribosomal RNA is filed under the name Chloroflexota bacterium. RNAcentral describes it as "Chloroflexi bacterium partial 16S ribosomal RNA". It matches the Rfam family "Bacterial small subunit ribosomal RNA", at positions 355 to 776 of the family's 1533-position model. Lineage: Bacteria; Bacillati; Chloroflexota. The record is from RNAcentral.